UGGUCGAAGGGUUUCAUAGCUUCCACGCAGGUAUCUUCCCAUGUUUUCCAAACUAUGCAUAUGACCAUCCAAAAGAAACAAACACUUAAAGAUCCUAAAAUAGUAAAACAAGAAGAUAUUAGACUCCUGUUAAUCAUUAUUUUGUACAAAAAUUCAUAUAUUCAACAUUCUUAACUUUGCACUUUUCCAGUGAACUUCAUCAACAGUAGUGCAUAUCAUUCUAUGUUUUAUAGGAGGAGGAGGAACGACAAACAACUAUCAAGGAGGACGUUAAAAAGUAUACUAGAAUCUGUAAUAUAUAUGUGUGUAAACUAACAAGGCUUUGUGACUAGAUAUUAUUGAAAUGGAUGUGUGUAAGACAUCUAUUUACUGCUUGUAAACUUCAACACCGAAGGCACGGUUUGUGACCUCCCAAACCUGGCCGUGUCCAUUGUAGAUCGUGUGGGGCAAAUCUAUGUCCAUGUUAACUGAAAACGUCAAGAUAACUACAACUAACAAAUCUGUAAUAUCAUGUAAACUCAAGGAAAAAGAAGAAGCAAGACCUUUUCCAAUCUCCAGGCAAAGUCUUGCUGCUGCAUGAAGUACAGCCCUAGAGAAACAGCAGAAACAACUUUCCAUCCUGAAAGAAAUACAAUGGGCUUGAAGAUCAUAUCUUACCAUAUACAAGAACCUCACCACUUUAAAAAAAAAUAAAAAUAGUCAAAAGAAGUCCAGCAAAACUACGAUGCAAUUCAGAUGGUAAAAUAAUACUAAAUAAAACAAAAUUACCUGAGGACAUUGCAACUAAAUAAUGAUCAUUAGUUGUUAACUCGGAUGUAACCUACAAAACAUGUCUCACUGCAGCUCGGUCAGCGAAUGGGAACCCUGAUAUUUUUUUAAUUUGAGUUCUAUAUUAAUUUUCAAUUUUUUUGUGGCAUCUGUGAUGCCUUAUUUUGUAUUUUAGUUGUUAGAUUUUAAUUUAAUCAUAUUGCUUUUUUCUAUCAUAGCAUGGAUUCUGGAGAACUAUGAACAUAAGGGAAAAAAAUAUUAUUGACUGUCCUUACGACAGACUAAGUUGUGGUUUUGCGGUAUCCAUGUAUUUCAGUUUGUGUAUUAUUCCAAAUUUGUAUGCCUUAGAUCCUGGUGCUGCAUUAGGAAGUUAUACUUUGAGAAUCCUUCUGUUUUAGGCUAUUCAAAUUUUCAUUUUAAAUUUUUCAUUAAUACUUUCAAGCAUAUUUCAACAGUUUUCCUUUACCUUGUUUUUACUUCCACUGGAUUGUUGGGAGAUCUGGGAAGCUGGGAAGCAUCCGUUCCUUACUGGCAUUGAUUAUGGGAGACCCCCUCUUCUCCUUCAGAUGGUUAAUGACUCUGAUGACCUAAAAUUCGUGUUAGCUUUUUUGGCAUAUUUUAUGCGUCGUGUAGCAUAUGCAAAUGCAAAUUACGAUCGUAUCCUUUUUCCACUCAAUUUAGCUUUUGAACUUUGGUUUAUUGUGCAAGCACUACAUUUUCUUUUACCCUCUUAUGUAAUUCAAUGCUUAACUCUACUGAUUUUUAAGAUGUGGUUGGGUGGAGAACAUCAUCAAUCCGCCGUCAACAUGAACUUCCAAAGAGGAGAUGAUUGGACGUCUCACUCAAGUACCUUGGCAUCUUGUUGAUGUUAGCGUUCACAAAAGUAGACAACGAUAUAUUGCGAACAGUACCAUUCAGGCAAGCUCUUGAAACUGGGCAGUUUUAUUGUUUCAUGUACUGCUUGUAAUUUAUUUUUAACACACUUAAACUUUUACUUUCUUAUAUCUUUUGGUAUCAUGAUACGGAGACCCUUUAUUUGAGAAUGUGCAUCCCUCUUUUUAAAAAUGUUAUUUUUUAAAAAUGUUACACCUCUUGAACUGCAUUAUGCACAAUUUAUUAAGGGCUAAAUAUUUAUUUUUGAUGCCAAUGUGUAAGUUAUUUGAAGAGGAAUUGCGAAAUAUGAAAUGUAUGCAUUUAUAAUUAUUCAAAUGCCCAUAAAUAAUUUUUGCUUGGAUUCUAUCUUAAACGCACAGACCUUAGGCACUGAUGAUGUAGGUUGCUUUAGCUAUUUUUUUUGGCUAGACAUGGAAGUUCAGCCUCCCGAAAUUAUAUGUUGGAACGCAUCAGGUUCACUUGUUUUUUGUUAUUGAUUUUCAAUUAUUUUUUCAGCGUGUUGGAUGACUAAUCUGUGCGUUUGAGCAAUCUUCAUGGAGCAUUGUCUACCUCGAAAUAAACCACACAAACUUUAAGAGUUCCCAGUUGGUCAAACAACUAUUUUUUAGGGGAUUGGUCUUUCAAAAUGAAAUUUGUCAGCAGAACCCUUUAUUAAUUGAAACAUAUUGGUUAAUUUUAUAAUUUAUGAUUACCAUUGAAUAAUUGUCACCAUUUUUCCUUUUUGCUUCAAUUUAUUUUGUUUAAGCAAGUGACCUUGAAAAUUAAAAUUUUAUAACAAUUAAGUCACUAACUCUGAUGCAGCCGCGCGGUGAGCACUAAAGAAUACCGUGUGCUCACUGUUGAUAAUAGCAUAAACCACUAUUUGGAAGGGCUUUUUCUAUGGAGACAUUUUUUCUAUGGGAAUGUCUCCAAAGAAACAAAGUCACUAACACUGUGAUUAACCAAAAUUUGGGCUUUGUUUUUUUUGAAAAGAGUUAUAUCAAGUUGCAUUUUGUUUUUUCAGACUUCAAUGUUUUUAAUUGUGCCUGUUGGAGCAUGAAAUAUCAUUUAUUGAUUGGGGCUCUUUGUAGUGGAGACAGAUUAGUUAUUCACUUGGUCACUGCUGUUCAUUUUCUAUUGUUUUGUAAACUUGACGGAAUGAAACAAUUUGUUAAUAUAAUACUUCGAAUUCAAUUACAUAUGAUUGCUCUUAGCUUAUUGAUCUGCCCCUUGUAAUGUGAAGUGGAUUCUUACCCAUAAGAAUAACUUCGACUUGGGCAUUUGAGAAUUAAUAAUUCAAAUGGGAUGCCAUUAAUUUUUGAAGUAUAAACAAAAUGACAUCUUUUGCCUUCUAUGUUGACCAUGUGUACUCUUAUUUAUUUGUUCUUUCACCAGUCUUAUAUUCUUGUUUGUUAUCUGUACAAUUUAAUUUUAAUCCACAUCUUAGUUUGUCCUCAUGUUUAGACUCUAAAGCGACAUACCCUGGCGCUUCGCACCCAUGCCCAUAUAGAUAACAUAACAGGAUGGUUUGUGCAUGCCCAUAUAGAUAACAUAACAGGAUGGUUUGUGCAAGUCAGCAGAGUCCAUAUUUGUAUUCAGUUUUGUUAAUAACAAGUAGAAUGAUGUUGUCUUCGAAUCAGUAUUAAAAAUAUAAUUUUUGCUAUUCCAUUUUUAUUAGUUAAGUUUCUCUUCUUGUCCAUCUUUUCUUGGGUAUUCUCUCUGAGUUUGGUGAAUCAGACUGAUUUAAUUGGCAAAUGACAGGCUUAUGUGACAUGUCUGUUAAGAAAUUUUAUAUGCGCUGAAAGGAAGCGUUGAUGGCCAAAUUGGACAUAUAUAGAAUUAAGUAGAAGAAAUUUGGCAUCCUUUGCUUUAAUCACAUCACUGUUGGCCGUCAACUGACUAAAGAAUGGAUAGGGUCUUUGCCCAUCUCGAAUGGCUAUGGACUGGAUUAUUUGAUUUCCUUGAGAAAUUAUGUUCUGUUGCAUUCUUGAAUAUGAAUCUAAGCUGUGGAUAAUUUCUUCCUUCAUCAAAUAUUUUUUUUCAAAUGUGUUAGUUUACUUGUCAUGAUCUUUUGAUUAAACAAAAACAAAUCAACACCAGUUAAAUCUGUAUCACCUUAACUAAAUUUACUGCUCUCACUGCCUACUUUAAUGGGUUUAAGUGCAAAUUUAUUUUUCUUUAUUUUAAUGGUUUAAGUGAAGAUGUUGAUUAUAUUAUACAGUAUUACCUUAUCAGUUGUUUUUGCAUCCUCGUUACAUGCAUCGUGGUGCUACUAGGUAGUUAUUUCUAUUUCUAUUUUGCUACUUGAAUAUGAUAACUGUGCUCACAUUCUAAUCAGGAUUCAAAAUUCUCGGGUUUGCCACAGCACAAGUCAAGAAAGCCAUGGAGGUUACGCAUUAUCUAGGGGGCGAAAAUUACGUUUUCUGGGGUGGUCGGGAGGGUUAUCAGACCCUUUUAAACACAGAUAUGGAAAGAGAGCUUGAUCAUAUGGUAGGCUCAUCAGCUACUUCUCGUAAUCCCUGAAUUACAGAAUAAAUUUUAAAUUUCCCCAGGUAUUAUUGAGAACUGUCUUGUCUCUUUAUUAUUACUGUUUAAUUUUCAAAAUUUGUUUUUGAAAGCAGAUAACCGUAUAGCAAGGUUUCCUAUUUUCAUGUGAUUUGUUGUCUAACAUAUUCAAUAUUGUUCUUUAUUUUCUCUUUACUUUAAUUUAAUUUACAUUUGAUUAACUGGUUAUCCACUUACAGGGUUUUUAUGGAAGCUGCUGUUGCCUACAAGAAGAAAAUUGGAUUCAACGGUACUUUAUAUUCAAUUUGUCAUGUACCAUUUAUUAGCAGAAUAGAAUUGUACUGUGAAAAAUAAAUAACUUUAUAGAACUAAACAUUGCUUUGGUGCUAUCAAUCUGUCAUCUAUUUCUACAGAUAAUAUGAGUAAUUUGUUUUCGCAAUUGGAUUUCUUUUAGCAGUAUAGAA
Cornus florida is the source of this 4610-nucleotide long non-coding RNA. RefSeq lists it as uncharacterized. The transcript is spliced from 3 exons. The record is from RefSeq and is a predicted model, not a curated record. Lineage: Eukaryota; Viridiplantae; Streptophyta; Magnoliopsida; Cornales; Cornaceae.